CCCAGCCGUAUCCUCGGACUAUGUCGACUUCCGUAUCGUCGCCCUCCUCCUUGCUGUGGACCCUGAUGAGAACAUACUUGAACACGCCGGAGGGAUCGAUGUCUGCCUGCGGAAUGUUCACCAUGCGGGAGGCCGCCUUCGUUUGGGUGCACAUCUCCGCGGCCACUUGUAUACGUACAGAGACGUGUGUGAGGAUCCAGCAUCCAGAACAAUUCCGUACUACAGGAGCAGAGACCACAGAGUAGUGAUCACAUAAAACUCCCGGUCUGACCUGACCUGCACUCAUGCCCUUCCGCUACGGAUGCUUUGAUGGAUGAUCGAUGGUGAACUGACAGACACGUGACAGGAGGCCGGCUGAGCCCCGCGGACAUGGAUGAGUGGCGCACGGACGCCCUCGUGGGCGGAAAUAUGGAGAUGAGGGCAGAGAGAGGACAGAAAGAAAGAGAAGGAGAGAGAAAAAGAGAGAGAGGCGACAGAGGAGGACGAGGAGAAGGAGUAAACAAGGGAAGAUGUGGCUUCUGGGUCUCCUUACCGUGUCUUUGGAGGACCUACGCCUCUUGAUGCUGGAAGCCAGGGUGGUACUGAUGGACCUAAAAGAGGCUUUCUUUUGGGGGUCGGGCUCUGCUCUACCACUUUUCCUAUCCUAAAAUGAAUAUGUGGAAACAUUAUUGGGCGUUCUACAUGGCCGAGGGGGGGCGAUGACUUUGCUUCUCCUCCUCCCAACUCGCCACAUGAAUUAUCCUCUUAUGCUCUAAGUAGAUGGUGGGGGCGGAAUGUGAAAAGAAGGCGAGCGGAGAAGGUUUCGCUGCAUGAUAUGAGGGGAUAGUCGUCUAAAUUUGAUGCCAGCAUUCGGGCUCCAAAAAAAAACGCAUUAGGAUGAGUGAUGGGUCGUAAAGAUGUAAGUGGACGCGUACAUUCCCUUCAUUCUAUUUCCAAUUCUGAAACGCAAAUCAAAACAUUUAAUUAGGGCCGUUUUUUCGGCAGAUAACCACAAAUUUUAGCAAAUUUUUUUUGCGUUUAUCUGGAAAAAUUCAAAUCCAUAAAAGCAAAACAGCACAGAAUCCAAUUUUAUGGCAAUAUUUUAAUGAAAAUCAACCCCUUUUUUGUUUGUUUUAAAAUCCAUCCAUCCAUCCAUUUCCUACCGCUUGUCCCUUUUGGGCUCGCGGGGGGUGCUGGAGCCUAUCUCAGCUGCAUCCAGGCGGAAGGCGGGGUACACCCUGGACAUGUCGAAAUGGAUGUAUUUUAAAACAAACAAAAAAGGGGUUGAUUUUCAUUCAAGUAUUGCCAUAGCAAUGCGUGCGCACUAGAUACAUGUCUAAAAAAAAUAAAUAAAAAAUUAUAAUUUACAAUUUUUUUUAAAAAAUUAUAUCUUUAUAAAAAGUUUCUCGUGCGCACGAGAUACAUGUCUAAAAAAAAAAAAAAAAUUAAUAAAAAAUUGUAAAAAAAAAAAUCCCCCAUGUCCCUUUAGGGGCUCCGUAGGAGUCCUAUAUAAUAAUAAUAAUAAUAAUAAUAAUAAUAAUAAUAAUACAUUUUAUUUGGUAUAGCGCUUUU
This is a long non-coding RNA of Entelurus aequoreus (snake pipefish), 1551 nucleotides long. RefSeq lists it as uncharacterized. The transcript is spliced from 3 exons. NCBI's taxonomy places the organism in Eukaryota, Metazoa, Chordata, Actinopteri, Syngnathiformes, Syngnathidae. The record is from RefSeq and is a predicted model, not a curated record.